GGGGCUGACUGGUUUUGACAGCGGGUAGAAGAGGCAGGUAAGCAUGCAGGGUUUUGAUUGUUGACCCUCCAAAAUAAUGAUCGAAAUCAUAAUUGGCGAAUAUAACUACGCUCUUGCUGCGUAACCGAAUAACAGUAAGUUAACGCACCCGGAAUUUACUUCCGGGAUUCCCGGUGCAAGGCGCCGGGACGAGACAUCGCCCGGGUGCUGUUGCCACGAAGCGGCCCGAUCAGGCGGUGCAGGAAUAUCGGGGCUAACUGAAACUUUGCUCCGCAGUUUCAGUGAAAAUUAAGGAGCUAAGGUGCCGGUCGGGCAGCCCUGAGCCAGCCGGUGCACGAAAAUUAAGCCGGGGAUAAGCAUGUAGAAAGCUUGUGGCUUCCUCGUUUGGACGCGGGUUCGACUCCCGCCAGCUCCACUC
This 418-nucleotide transfer-messenger RNA is filed under the name Mariniphaga sp. It matches the Rfam family "transfer-messenger RNA". From Rfam's summary of the family: Bacterial tmRNA, also known as 10Sa RNA or SsrA, is named for its dual tRNA and mRNA-like properties. Its role is to liberate the mRNA from a stalled ribosome. To accomplish this part of the tmRNA is used as a reading frame that ends in a translation stop signal. RNAcentral also lists the same sequence under 1 other name. Lineage: Bacteria; Pseudomonadati; Bacteroidota; Bacteroidia; Marinilabiliales; Prolixibacteraceae. The record is from RNAcentral.